CCUACGGGGGGCAGCAGUGGGGAAUAUUGGGCAAUGGAGGAAACUCUGACCCAGCAACGCCGCGUGAAUGAUGAAGGUCUUCGGAUUGUAAAGUUCUUUUCUAAGGGAAGAAGAAAGUGACGGUACCGUAGGAAUAAGCCUCGGCUAACUACGGGCCAGCAGCAGCGGUAAUACGUCGGAGGCAAGCGUUAGCCGGAAUGACUGGGCGUAAAGGGUGCGUAGGUGGUGUGAUAAGUUGGUAGCGUAACUCCGAGGCUCAACCUCGGCACUUCUACCAAAACGGUCGGACUUGAGUGCAGGGGGCGCAACUGGAAUUCCUGGUGUAGCGGUUUCAUGCGUAGCUAUUA
RNAcentral lists this ribosomal RNA (347 nucleotides) under uncultured bacterium. RNAcentral's name for it is "partial 16S ribosomal RNA". It matches the Rfam family "Bacterial small subunit ribosomal RNA", at positions 338 to 699 of the family's 1533-position model. The record is from RNAcentral.